This is a long non-coding RNA of Vicia villosa (hairy vetch), 396 nucleotides long. RefSeq lists it as uncharacterized. NCBI's taxonomy places the organism in Eukaryota, Viridiplantae, Streptophyta, Magnoliopsida, Fabales, Fabaceae. The record is from RefSeq and is a predicted model, not a curated record. The transcript is spliced from 4 exons.
GAAAAGACUCACUGGCCAAUACAUAGAUCGAAAUGUAUUUGUUGAUCCAGUUUUUUGGUGUCAGGGUGUGAAGAUGUUCAUGUUUAUUUCCUUCUUCCAGAUCCAGUUUUUCCCUUUUGAUCUAUAAUCUGAGACUGCAAAAGUUACAUUUUCUGAUUAAAGCUGCUGAUAUAUACUCAAAAUUUACAAGCACGAGUUUUGAGUUUUUAACAAUUUAAAGACAUGAAGCGGCUCCGAAUGUGCAGACAGAUGGUGAAAACCAAGUUACAUGGCUAUUAUAAUAUGCUAACAUUUUGGGCAAUUGAAAUCAUCAUCAAAUAUUCAGCAACAUGCCCAACAACAAACUUUGCAGCCUGUUUUACAAGAAGUGAAGUUAAUGACAAAUGCAUUAAGAAG